AAGAACUCUUUGAUCCGAUUGCCAUGGUCGUCCGAGAAGAAUGUGACUAGCGUCCAUCGGUAGAAUGUCACACAUGAUCUCAUCUUGAUACUUCCCAAUUGAAAGAGGUACCUUGACUUGUUCUUUGACGGACAUCUCACCCGUGUCAUUGAGCCAUUGGAGUGAAUACGGUCUCGGGUGUUCAAGCACUUCUAAGCCAAG
This 201-nucleotide long non-coding RNA is filed under the name Capsella rubella. Its description in RNAcentral is "long non-coding RNA (CRUB_LNC004237)". Lineage: Eukaryota; Viridiplantae; Streptophyta; Magnoliopsida; Brassicales; Brassicaceae. The record is from RNAcentral.